UACAGAGGUCCCAAGCGUUGUUCGGAUUCAUUGGGCGUAAAGGGUGCGUAGGUGGCGCCGUAAGUCGGGUGUGAAAUUUCGGAGCUUAACUCCGAAACUGCAUUCGAUACUGCGGUGCUCGAGGACUGGAGAGGAGACUGGAAUUCAUGGUGUAGCAGUGAAAUGCGUAGAGAUCAUGAGGAAGACCAGUGGCGAAGGCGGGUCUCUGGACAGUUCCUGACACUGAGGCACGAAGGCCAGGGGAGCAAACGGG
RNAcentral lists this ribosomal RNA (253 nucleotides) under uncultured bacterium. Its description in RNAcentral is "partial 16S ribosomal RNA". It matches the Rfam family "Bacterial small subunit ribosomal RNA", at positions 524 to 776 of the family's 1533-position model. The record is from RNAcentral.